This 187-nucleotide ribosomal RNA is filed under the name Staphylococcus aureus. Its description in RNAcentral is "partial 16S ribosomal RNA". It matches the Rfam family "Bacterial small subunit ribosomal RNA", at positions 1 to 182 of the family's 1533-position model. Lineage: Bacteria; Bacillati; Bacillota; Bacilli; Caryophanales; Staphylococcaceae. The record is from RNAcentral.
UUUAUGGAGAGUUUGAUCCUGGCUCAGGAUGAACGCUGGCGGCGUGCCUAAUACAUGCAAGUCGAGCGAACGGACGAGAAGCUUGCUUCUCUGAUGUUAGCGGCGGACGGGUGAGCAACACGUGGAUAACCUACCUAUAAGACUGGGAUAACUUCGGGAAACCGGAGCUAAUACCGGAUAAUAUUUU